UGAGAGCAUUGUGUCUGUGAAUUUCAAUAUAAAGCCUAGGGCUGUGAACUGGAAGAGGAAAAAAAAUAAUAACAUUCCAGUAACAUGUUUUUUUCUCCCACAUUGUAUAUGGCAGUUGGUUAGAUUUAGUGAAUGAUAAGCUUUUAGAUAAAAAAUGGGAAACUAAGUAAGAUAGGCAGCAUUUGAUUUCAUUUAGGAAAAGAAUGAAAGAAGAUGGAGAGAUCUGAGUACAACCAUCAAGUGAAGGCGUAACCAAGGGAGGCUUGAUUGAAAAGUGCUACUGUUCCUCAUCCCAUUUUAUCCCCCAGAAAA
Molecule: long non-coding RNA, 312 nt
Filed under: Homo sapiens (human)
Lineage: Eukaryota; Metazoa; Chordata; Mammalia; Primates; Hominidae
Description: non-protein coding lnc-HDGFL1-2:12
Source: RNAcentral